This 211-nucleotide long non-coding RNA is filed under the name Nicotiana benthamiana. RNAcentral describes it as "long non-coding RNA (NBEN_LNC000340)". The record is from RNAcentral. Lineage: Eukaryota; Viridiplantae; Streptophyta; Magnoliopsida; Solanales; Solanaceae.
GGUUGUUAGGGCAGCAGAGAAGGCUGGAUUCUGGUACACCGUGAAUUUUGAGGGUUUAGGUGGCGGCGAGACUCCUCCGCCGCCAGCACUCAUUCUUACUGCUUUUUCUCUGUUUGUUUUUCGCUUGUGGUUUUAUACAGCAAUCGCCAUUAUUGAAACUUCGAUUUAGCAAUCGAGUUCGCCGCUCACCUCACAGUGCUCGAAUUUUUUU